CUAGAACCGGCUGCCUCUAAUUGGAGAUCAUCCCAAUAACCCCCAACAUAGAAAUAGAAAUCUAGAAAACCCACAUAGAAACAGAAAGCAAGAAAACCACCCAAAACACCCCCUGUCAUGCCCUGACCACUCUACUAUAGAAAAUGACCCCUUACAAGGGUCAGGACGUGACACCCGUAGGAUUUGUAGUUUUAUCCGAAUAGAGAAACCCACAGGAUUUUCAUAAAUCGUGGUCUUGGAGGCAUGAUAAUAAUUAUUCAGGGUACAGUUGUAACGGCUGUCUGAAGAGAGAGUAGACCAAGGUGCAGCGGAGUUAGUGUUCAUCUUCAGGAAUGUAUUAAACAACGUGAACACUAUACAAAAACAAGAAAACCGACAGCCUAACAGUACUGUCAGGUGCAAACACGAAACAGAAACAAUCCCCCACAAAACCCAAAGGAAAAACAGGCUCCUUAUGUGUGACUCCCAAUCAGCAACAACGAACGACAGCUGUGCCUGAUUGGGAGCCACACACGGCCCAAAACAAAGAAAUACAAAACCAUAGAAAAAUUAACAUAGAACGCCCACCCAAUGUAACACCCUGGCCUAACCAAAAAUGAAGAACAAAAACCCCUCUCUAUGGCCAGGGCGUUACAACAGUCUACUCUAGAUUUACUGACAAACAAGGUUAACAACAGCCACUAAGGAUAAGUUUAGGUGGUGGUACUGGUACUGGUGGUGUGUGUGUGUGUGUGGGUGGUGGUGAAAAACACUGAAUGUCAGAUUUUCUUGUCAUGACACCUGAGAUGUUUUUCCACACCAACUCAGCCUGACAGGGAUGGUGGAGGGCAUCAACUUGUCACAUUAACAAGACAUGACUACAACAAUAACAGGACAUGUGAGCUGUCAAGUCUCUGGCCUCACUGCUUCAAAGGAAUGGCCAGCGGUGGCACAGAGGAAUGGAGUGGCCUCUCUCUCUCUCUUUCUCUCUUUCUCUCUUUCUCUCUUUUUCUCUCUCUCUCUCUGUUACCUGAUCCACAGCAGUGUCAUGUUUGGGUGUCUAUUUCUCUGGCUCAAAACAAAAACUGUCACCGGGCUAGAGUGAGAGACAUAGAGAGUGGGAAAGAUAUCUAAAAUCACACCACAUCCUGGGUAACAACACUUGCUGGCUGGCCACAUGUCUUUUCCUCUAGACAGGCUGCCCUGACCCCUGACCCCAGACUCUCCGGGUAUGGUCUUUUUACCUCAUCUGACUUUGAUUGUUUGUGAUCUCCAUAUCUGUCACGUUCACGACAGAAGUUUAACUAAGCACUAACCACUGUAUGUUGACCAAGAAAACAAUUGAUCCGGCAUGUGAUCGAAUAAUCUAUCAUAGAGAGUUUAUUAUAGACUUAUUAACAAGUGUCUCUCGGACCUGAAGUAUAAUUGGUCAUAAGACUAUAAGCAAACAAGUAAUGUCCACACGGUUAAGGGAAACACUGUGUACCUUGUCUCUUCCAG
RNAcentral lists this long non-coding RNA (1479 nucleotides) under Salmo salar (Atlantic salmon). Its description in RNAcentral is "lncRNA (ENSSSAG00000102475.1)". The record is from RNAcentral. Lineage: Eukaryota; Metazoa; Chordata; Actinopteri; Salmoniformes; Salmonidae.